AGUGAACGCUGGCGGUAGGCCUAACACAUGCAAGUCGAACGGCAGCACAGUAAGAGCUUGCUCUUACGGGUGGCGAGUGGCGGACGGGUGAGGAAUACAUCGGAAUCUACUUUUUCGUGGGGGAUAACGUAGGGAAACUUACGCUAAUACCGCAUACGACCUACGGGUGAAAGCAGGGGAUCUUUGGACCUUGCGCGAUUGAAUGAGCCGAUGUCGGAUUAGCUAGUUGGCGGGGUAAAGGCCCACCAAGGCGACGAUCCGUAGCUGGUCUGAGAGGAUGAUCAGCCACACUGGAACUGAGACACGGUCCAGACUCCUACGGGAGGCAGCAGUGGGGAAUAUUGGACAAUGGGCGCAAGCCUGAUCCAGCCAUGCCGCGUGGGUGAAGAAGGCCUUCGGGUUGUAAAGCCCUUUUGUUGGGAAAGAAAAGCAGCAGGUUAAUACCCCGCUGUUCUGACGGUACCCAAAGAAUAAGCACCGGCUAACUUCGUG
This 492-nucleotide ribosomal RNA is filed under the name uncultured bacterium. RNAcentral's name for it is "partial 16S ribosomal RNA". It matches the Rfam family "Bacterial small subunit ribosomal RNA", at positions 29 to 507 of the family's 1533-position model. The record is from RNAcentral.